ACCACCAAGGAGCAACUGAAAGAACGCUGCAACAAGAAAUCAGUCUGUAGCCUAAAACCCAGCAACGACCUGUGGGGCAGCGAUCCCUGCCCGGGCACAGCUAAACUUCUCCGCAUCGAAUACGAAUGCAAAUAAUUAGUCAGCCUCUAACCAAGUGACGUCAUCUUGGACUUCCGGACAUCUUUGCCAGUUCAAGAACCAAGACGGAGUUCAUCUCAAUAUGAAGUUAUCAAUUACUUUCGAUUUUUCAUAUUUCAUAUCUCGAUUAAAUUGAAACGGCGAUGCCUUUCGGAAAGACGUUUGUUUAUAACUCACGUACGGUGAAUUUCUCUUAUAUUUGUAAUAUCAGUGAAUUAAAAUAUAAAAGGUUUAGGAAAAUUGG
Long non-coding RNA from Priapulus caudatus, 382 nucleotides. RefSeq lists it as uncharacterized. The record is from RefSeq and is a predicted model, not a curated record. NCBI's taxonomy places the organism in Eukaryota, Metazoa, Priapulida, Priapulimorpha, Priapulimorphida, Priapulidae. The transcript is spliced from 2 exons.